RNAcentral lists this ribosomal RNA (464 nucleotides) under uncultured bacterium. Its description in RNAcentral is "bacterial SSU rRNA". It matches the Rfam family "Bacterial small subunit ribosomal RNA", at positions 355 to 822 of the family's 1533-position model. The record is from RNAcentral.
UAAGGAAUAUUGGUCAAUGGAGGCAACUCUGAACCAGCCAUGCCGCGUGCAGGAAGAAGGCCCUAUGGGUCGUAAACUGCUUUUGAGCAAGAGAAAACCCCGGUACGUGUACUGGGUUGAUAGUAUUGUUAGAAUAAGCAUCGGCUAACUUCGUGCCAGCAGCCGCGGUAAGACGAAGGAUGCAAGCGUUAUCCGGAUUCAUUGGGUUUAAAGGGUGCGUAGGCGGACUGAUAAGUCAGUGGUGAAAUCUCUCGGCUUAACCGAGAAACUGCCAUUGAUACUGUUAGUCUAGAGUACAGAUGAUGUGGGCGGAAUAUGACAUGUAGUGGUGAAAUACUUAGAUAUGUCAUAGAACACCGAUUGCGAAGGCAGCUCACAAAACUGUAACUGACGCUGAGGCACGAAAGUGCGGGGAUCAAACAGGAUUAGAUACCCUUGUAGUCCCUGAGCGGGCUGGCAAGGCG